GGGGGGGGGGGGGGGGGGGCGGGGCGCGUGGGGGGCGGGCGGGGCGGUCGGGGGGGGGGGCGGGCGGGGGGGGAGGAGGGGGGGACGUGCGUGUGGGUGCGGGGUCACUCGGGGGGACGGGGGCUACUGCGGAAUGUGCCAGGCGGGGGCACGAUUGAUCGCCCUUAGAGCGGCCCGCGUCGGAUCAGGAAGUGGGUUGAGGUGAGGGCUCACCCCGUCGACGUGCAGGAGCUGGUCUGCGAGGAUGAUCAGCCACAUGGGGACUGCGACACGGCCCAAACGCCUACGGGAGGCAGCAGUGGGGAAUCUUGCGCAAUGGGCGAAAGCCUGACGCAGCCAUGCCGCGUGAAUGAUGAAGGUCUUAGGAUUGUAAAAUUCUUUCACCGGGGACGAUAAUGACGGUACCCGGCGAAGAAGCCCCGGCUAACUUCGUG
Molecule: ribosomal RNA, 434 nt
Filed under: uncultured bacterium
Lineage: Bacteria
Description: partial 16S ribosomal RNA
Rfam family: Bacterial small subunit ribosomal RNA (bases 76-434)
Source: RNAcentral